Non-coding RNA from Gasterosteus aculeatus aculeatus (three-spined stickleback), 2376 nucleotides. The record is from RefSeq and is a predicted model, not a curated record. NCBI's taxonomy places the organism in Eukaryota, Metazoa, Chordata, Actinopteri, Perciformes, Gasterosteidae.
CCCAUAGCAAAGCAAAAUUGAAGAUGAGAUCUCCUUUAUGUCACAUUUACAUCUCCUAGAUAUAAAUGAGCACUAAUUGAGACCAAAGUGGUUUUCUCAUUCUUCUCAAAUGUCUCUCCUGAGAAUUAAGUCUCACAUUGAGCACAGUGCAAGUUCUCUAAAUUCUCUCACAGCUGUCUCUUUUCCUGAUCUCAACUAAGAGAAAAAUGAGACAUACAAUGCAGCUUUCAAAUAUGUCUCAAUUUGAUCUCAAUUAUAUCUCAGUGAGAAAUAUGUCUCGUACUGCUCACUAUUUGAGUUCUCAGAUUCUCUUACAGUUGUCUCUUUCUAGUGUUUCAGCAAAAAGAAAAAAUAGAGUAGUGUUAGCUCUCAAAUUAGUCUCAAUAUGAGACAUUAUUUAAUAUUAUAGCUCAAUCAUAUCUCAAUUUAUCUCAGCGCAAAAUUUAAGAAAAGAAGUAUAUCAAUUCAGGCAAAUAAUUUGAGAUGGUUUACAUAAUGUUCAACUUACAAAAGGUGUUUAUUUCUGACAAGCCAUACAAUUCAUUAAUUAGAAUUUUGAGUUCUAAAACGUAACCCAUCAAAACAUAAGCCAUGAUUUGCUCAAAAGACACCUUUGUGAACUUUCUAAAUGUUGACAAUUGUGCUGUUUUAAAAGAAUUCACAGCAAAGCUCUAUUGUAUAGAGCAGUAAAAGAGUGUGUAACACGUUACUCCAAGAAUCCUACCUCAUGUGUGAUGAAAGAGUCCGUUAUGACUAUUACUAUUAACGUUGCACGCGCGGGAGACGUGGUAGCGCCAAGACCCGCCCUACGAAGCAGCUCAUUGCAUGGCUCACGAUUGAUUAGACUUUUCACCUCGAGUGGUUAAGGUUAGGAUAGCGGAUUGGUCAGGGGAUAGGACCUGAACAAAUAAAAAUGUUGUUAUCUAGAAUACAGGGCUUUUAAAAAGAAUGUAAUAGUAUAAAGGAAAUAUAAUCUGUGGGUAUACUCCAGUCCAGCGGUGGCGGUAAUACAACAACAAGUUAUCAACCGCCAGAUAAAAAUAGAAGAAGAAGAAGAAGAAGAAGAUUGGAGGGCGGGUCUUGGCGCCAAUUCGUAAUUUCGUUGGGGUGAGAGAAGUGCGUCGGUAACUGCUGCUGCACCUGUUGGCUUUUGCCCCUGCCACGAAGAGAAAAACAAAGUGCUGGCAAAAAAGAGGCUACGGGUUCCCACUCAGAAAAUUGAAGGACCUGAGCUCCCCUCCCCCAAAUGAGCAAUCUGGUAAGUAUUAACGUAAUAGUUUGUUAUAUACGGGGGUAAUAAUCAUAACAUUAAUAAUGUCUAAAAAUACCAGUCUAAAUUGUUGUGGCCAAAUAGAAAUUCAUUUCCAUCGGUGAAUCCAUCACCUGACGGGGGACAUGCAACAGGCCGCAACACAGCUGGACCACCACCCUAUGGAUACAGGCCGGGUCAGAGAGCUUCAGACUCUCUGCGACUUAAUUGGAGAGAGAUCUGGUGGCAGCCUAGCUUCACCAUCAAGCCAGCAGGAGCUGUUUCCUGGGAGCGGCCAAUUCAUCUCAUCAUUCCGCCUGGCUGCCAUGAAUCACGCAUCAAAACCAAAUUGCAUGCGUCUGUUUCAUGCACUUUUUGAUAAUUUCUUCACUGUUGAGGAGUGUCAAAAUGCAGUGCCCUUUGGUCACCCUGGAAACAACCCCUCAGGAAAGGAAGGAAAGCCGGUCCUUGACUGUAAAAAAGUUGACUGAAUCCUAAAUGUGCAACUCUACCGGACUGGGAACCAAUUGAGGAGGCCAAGCUAUGUGGACCGCGAUCUCUCUCUCUUUUGUGUGUGUGUGUGUGUGUGUGUGUGUCACACAAAUGCAGUUUUCAAUAUUGAGUAUUGUUUUUAGUUGUUUCUAAUUAAUAAAGAUAAUUAAUCUUUAAAUUGCGUUCUCAAUUUGUUCUUGUAUUUCUCAAAUAUACCUCAGAUAUCAUUCUCAUAUAUAGCUUCAGUAAGACAUUAAAGAGAAAUAAUCAAGAGAUGGAAGAGACGUUGGACACACAAUAAUAAGAUCUCUUUUAAGGCUCAUAAUUCUCAGAUUUGUCUCAUGUUAUUCUCCUUCAAAUGGCCGAGACACAAUUGAGAUCAGGGGUAUACAAUUAUGAGAUCUCUACUGUCUAUCCCACUUCUCAAGUAUUGCUCAAAUGGUAUUCUCAAUUUAACCUCCUUUGUCUUACUCAUGUCUUGUCUCUUUUUAGCUUAUGUCUUGCUCCUAAGGGACCCUUAGGAGAAGUAACUCAGAAACAAAUGAUCACAGAAUGAUAUGAACAUGAGAUGCUCAAAUUGAGCUCGCGAGAUGAGAUUGAACAACAGAUGAGCAACACAUUUUUCCUAUGGGAAG